RNAcentral lists this ribosomal RNA (374 nucleotides) under uncultured bacterium. RNAcentral's name for it is "bacterial SSU rRNA". It matches the Rfam family "Bacterial small subunit ribosomal RNA", at positions 521 to 895 of the family's 1533-position model. The record is from RNAcentral.
UAAUACGUAGGGUGCAAGCGCUAAUCGGAAUUACUGGGCGUAAAGCGUGCGCAGGCGGUCAUGCAAGACAGAUGUGAAAUCCCCGGGCUUAACCUGGGAACCGCAUUUGUGACUGCAUGGCUUGAGUACGGUAGAGGGAGAUGGAAUUCCGCGUGUAGCAGUGAAAUGCGUAGAUAUGCGGAGGAACACCGAUGGCGAAGGCAAUCUCCUGGACCUGUACUGACGCUCAUGCACGAAAGCGUGGGGAGCAAACAGGAUUAGAUACCCUGGUAGUCCACGCCCUAAACGAUGUCAACUGGUUGUUGGGAGGGUUUCUUCUCAGUAACGUAGCUAACGCGUGAAGUUGACCGCCUGGGGAGUACGGCCGCAAGGUU